This 501-nucleotide ribosomal RNA is filed under the name uncultured bacterium. Its description in RNAcentral is "partial 16S ribosomal RNA". It matches the Rfam family "Bacterial small subunit ribosomal RNA", at positions 30 to 523 of the family's 1533-position model. The record is from RNAcentral.
AUUGAACGCUGGCGGCAGGCUUAACACGUGCAAGUCGAGCGGGGGAAGGUAGCUUGCUACCGGACCUAGCGGCGGACGGGUGAGUAAUGCUUAGGAAUCUGCCUAUUAGUGGGGGACAACAUCUCGAAAGGGAUGCUAAUACCGCAUACGUCCUACGGGAGAAAGCAGGGGAUCUUCGGACCUUGUGCUAAUAGAUGAGCCUAAGUCGGAUUAGCUAGUUGGUGGGGUAAAGGCCUACCAAGGCGACGAUCUGUAGCGGGUCUGAGAGGAUGAUCCGCCACACUGGGACUGAGACACGGCCCAGACUCCUACGGGAGGCAGCAGUGGGGAAUAUUGGACAAUGGGGGGAACCCUGAUCCAGCCAUGCCGCGUGUGUGAAGAAGGCCUUAUGGUUGUAAAGCACUUUAAGCGAGGAGGAGGCUUACCUAGUUAAUACCUGGGACAAGUGGACGUUACUCGCAGAAUAAGCACCGGCUAACUCUGUGCCAGCAGCCGCCGUAA